Rosa rugosa (rugosa rose) is the source of this 1276-nucleotide long non-coding RNA. RefSeq lists it as uncharacterized. The transcript is spliced from 3 exons. Lineage: Eukaryota; Viridiplantae; Streptophyta; Magnoliopsida; Rosales; Rosaceae. The record is from RefSeq and is a predicted model, not a curated record.
GAAAAAACAAAACACAAUACCUUUUCCUUUCUCUGUUUCAAACUGGGCUUUUAAUGUCGUCCGACUUCUUCAAUAGCCGAUCUCAAUACCAACCUGACAUGUAGAAGUUCAAAUUGGUAAUCCAAGGGAUUCAAUUCAACUCUUGUCGUCUGGAGCAGCUCUAAUUGGUAUUUGUGAAUGAUCCAUUCCUGAACCACCCAGAACAUUGAAUCAGAGUUCGAGUUGUAUCAGCAAGAGCUUACCACUCCCUCUUUAUGCGUAGCAUCUAAGUAAUGAGGAUGAUAUGAUUACCUGAAACCUAGAAUAUGGACAAGAGUUGGGUAAGAUUGAAGAGGGGUAGUGCAGAUUACAAGUUACGAUUACGAGGCUAGAUCUCACACGUCUUAGCAGUUGCAUCCUUUCAUGGAAACAUCAAAUGUCCUUGCAGAUCAUGUGUAAAUGGGGAGUGGCAUGACGGGGAUACUGUCUAUGACCACUUGGUGGUUGAAGGUAUUGCCCAUUCAUACAUAGAUGGUCCUUGGGUGUGGCAUGGUGAAGCAUUCGGUGUUCAACAGCCUGUGUGUACGACCUAUGAAGAAGAUACUAAUUCUGGCAUGGCUGACAUGAUACAUGAUCUUUUCCCAAGCAUAGAUGGACUAGAAGGUCCGUGUGAGAAUGAGAACAAUGCUCCCACAUCUGAGAAUGAGAACCAUGGUCCACCCCAACCUAUGCCAGAUUAUGUUCAUCAUUUUCAACGGUUGCUGGAAGAAGCCAAUCAGGACUUAUAUCCAGGUUGCAGAGCAAUGAAAAAGCUGGAAUUUCUUAUCGAAGUAUUCCAGAACAAGUGCUUAUAUGGCCAAAGUGAUGUAUCUGUAUCUGCGUGGCUGAAGCUGAUUAAAAAAAUUCUCCCAGAAGGGGAGACAUUGCCUAGCAAGUAGCAACUUCUAUAGGACAAAAAGAGUAUAGAAGUUGUAUUAUAAUCAGUAACUUAAAAGAAUUUGUUGCCAUCUGAUACAUAUGUUCUUUUUGAUGUAUUUACUUACACAAAUUGUAAGGUGAUUAAUCUCCAGGAAGCUACUUUAGGUGAGAUUGAUUUUGUGACUCUUUUAACUUUUUUUUUUUUUUUUUGAGAAUAUUUGUGACUCAACUUGAAUGCCAUAUAUGAAAGAAUAUGGCUUUUGUUAGUCAGUACAUGUCUGUCGUCUGCAAGUUUAUGCUUGUGAUCCUAUUUCACAAAGCAUGUUAUAUCGAAGUGUUCUGGUAAGCUCAUGGUGAUGGACAUGUAUAAUAUAUUAAA